GAUGAACGCUGGCGGCGUGCCUAAUACAUGCCAGUCGAGCGAACGGACGAGAAGCUUGCUUUUCUGACGUUAGCGGCGGACGGGUGAGUAACACGUGGAUAACCUACCUAUAAGACUGGGAUAACUUCGGGAAACCGGCGCUAAUACCGGAUAAUAUUUUGAACCGCAUGGUUCAAUAGUGAGAGACGGUCUUGCUGUCACUUAUAGAUGGAUCCGCGCUGCAUUAGCUAGUUGGUAAGGUAACGGCUUACCAAGGCAACGAUGCAUAGCCGACCGGAGAGGGUGAUCGGCCACACGGGAACGGAGCCACGGUCCAGACUCCUACGGGAGGCAGCAGUAGGGAAUCUUACGCAAUGGGCGAAAGCCUGACGGAGCAACGCCGCGUGAGUGAUGAAGGUCUUCGGAUCGUAAAACUCUGUUAUUAGGGAAGAACAGAUGUGUAAGUAACUGUGCACAUCUUGACGGUACCGAAUCAGAAAGCCCCGGCUAACUACGUG
This 497-nucleotide ribosomal RNA is filed under the name uncultured bacterium. Its description in RNAcentral is "partial 16S ribosomal RNA". It matches the Rfam family "Bacterial small subunit ribosomal RNA", at positions 28 to 507 of the family's 1533-position model. The record is from RNAcentral.